CCAACGUGUGUUGGUGCAAUAAAUCAACAACGGUGGUGCCUGAGCGUGGACUGUGCAACAGAUCUAGGGCGGUGGGAGGUUGUCUUCCGUACAGAGCAUGGAACGGUGAGGUUCCAAUGGCAGAGUGAUAAGUCGUAUUGUGACAAAGUUACGCUAGAUGAAGAUAUUGGAACCAAGUGUGAGGAUGUUCGCCUGCAAAGCAUCGUAGGUAAUCUUCCAAACUUCGAUUAAGAGCUUCUGUCUGUCCAUCAGUUUGCGGAUGAUAAGCAGAACUGAACUUUAAUGUUGUGCCUUGUGCCUUGAAUAGGUGUUUCCAGAACGUGCUGAUAAAUAGUGGAUCUCGGUCUGAGACAAUGGUUUUUGGCAGCCCAUGCAGACGACAAAUCUCAACCGAGAAUCGCUUGGCAAGUUGUUGAGCAUUGAACUGUUUGGGAAGUGCCACAAAGUGAGCAUACUUCGUGAGGCGAUCACAUAUGGCCCAUAUCACCGAGUGACCUAUAGAGGCGGGUAAGUGUGUUAUAAAAUCCAUUGAUAAAUCUUUCCACACUUGAUCUGGUAAUGGGAAGGGUUGGAGUAAUCCAUGGGGUUUUGUUGGCAAAUACUUGUUACGCUGACAUGUGGUGCAUUGUUGAAUGUAGUUCUUGACAUCUCUAGUCCACCCCGGCCAGUAGAAGGCAACAGCAAUGCGAGCAAGGGUGGGUUUAAUACCGGAAUGACCCGCUGUGGGCGAUUCAUGUAGUUCUAGGAGGAUGCGGUUUCUGAAAUUGUUGGUAUCUAGAAUAAACACUUGGUGCCGAAAGAAGAGCAGACCAUGACGGACUGAGAAGAUGUUGGGUCCUUGUGUAUCUUUAGUGCAAGCGUCUACUAAUCUUGUUCCUUCUAUGGUGGAAUAAAAUUGCUGUAACUCUUCAAACAACAAUGGUAUUGGCGACGAGAGUGCAAGCAACAUUGAAGGUGGAUCUGUGUCUUGGCGUGAGAGAGCAUCUACAACCACAUUUUGCUUGCCAG
This 1008-nucleotide long non-coding RNA is filed under the name Phaseolus vulgaris (common bean). RNAcentral's name for it is "long non-coding RNA (PVUL_LNC001734)". The record is from RNAcentral. Lineage: Eukaryota; Viridiplantae; Streptophyta; Magnoliopsida; Fabales; Fabaceae.